GAACGGAUCCGACGCUGGUGAGGAAAAUGACGACGACGCUGAGGACAACGAGGAUGCCAAGGGUCUCGCGGUCGGAGAAAGUGCGGCCGAAGAGGACGAGAGGAGGAUCGGAGGGGCGGAAGAGGUAGAGGAAGAGCCAGGCGGCGAGGAGAGAAAGGAGGAGGAGGAGAGAGAAAGGGUUGGUGAGGAGAGAGAAGGCAAGGGUAAGGGCGAUGAGGGAGAGGUAGUUGACGCGGAAGUAGGUGUAGUUCUUGCGUACGCGAAGGGCGGCCUCGGAGAAGGACUCGGGGCGGGAGAAAGCGUUGCGGUCGACGAGCUCGGACCAG
This 326-nucleotide long non-coding RNA is filed under the name Vitis vinifera (wine grape). RNAcentral describes it as "long non-coding RNA (VVIN_LNC002476)". The record is from RNAcentral. Lineage: Eukaryota; Viridiplantae; Streptophyta; Magnoliopsida; Vitales; Vitaceae.